RNAcentral lists this ribosomal RNA (253 nucleotides) under uncultured bacterium. RNAcentral describes it as "partial 16S ribosomal RNA". It matches the Rfam family "Bacterial small subunit ribosomal RNA", at positions 524 to 776 of the family's 1533-position model. The record is from RNAcentral.
UACAGAGGGUGCGAGCGUUAAUCGGAAUUACUGGGCGUAAAGCGUGCGUAGACGGUUACGUAAGUCGGGUGUGAAAGCCCCGGGCUCAACCUGGGAAUUGCAUUCGAGACUGCGUAGCUAGGGUGCGGAAGAGGGAAGCGGAAUUUCCGGUGUAGCGGUGAAAUGCGUAGAUAUCAGAAGGAACAUCAGUGGCGAAAGCGGCUUCCUGGACCAGAACUGACGAUCAGGCACGAAAGCGUGGGGAGCAAACAGG